UGCAAGUCGAGCGGAUGAUGGGAGCUUGCUCCCGGAUUCAGCGGCGGACGGGUGAGUAAUGCCUAGGAAUCUGCCUGGUAGUGGGGGGCAACGUUUCGAAAGGAACGCUAAUACCGCAUACGUCCUACGGGAGAAAGCAGGGGACCUUCGGGCCUUGCGCUAUCAGAUGAGCCUAGGUCGGAUUAGCUAGUUGGUGGGGUAAAGGCCUACCAAGGCGACGAUCCGUAACUGGUCUGAGAGGAUGAUCAGUCACACUGGAACUGAGACACGGUCCAGACUCCUACGGGAGGCAGCAGUGGGGAAUAUUGGACAAUGGGCGAAAGCCUGAUCCAGCCAUGCCGCGUGUGUGAAGAAGGUCUUCGGAUUGUAAAGCACUUUAAGUUGGGAGGAAGGGCAGUAAGUUAAUACCUUGCUGUUUUGACGUUACCAACAGAAUAAGCACCGGCUAACUUCGUGCCAGCAGCCGCGGUAAUACGAAGGGUGCAAGCGUUAAUCGGAAUUACUGGGCGUAAAGCGCGCGUAGGUGGUUUGGUAAGAUGGAUGUGAAAUCCCCGGGCUCAACCUGGGAACUGCAUCCAUAACUGCCUGACUAGAGUACGGUAGAGGGUGGUGGAAUUUCCUGUGUAGCGGUGAAAUGCGUAGAUAUAGGAAGGAACACCAGUGGCGAAGGCGACCACCUGGACUGAUACUGACACUGAGGUGCGAAAGCGUGGGGAGCAACAGGAUUAGAUACCCUGGUAGUCCACGCCGUAAACGAUGUCGACUAGCCGUUGGGGAUCCUUGAGAUCUUAGUGGCGCAGCUAACGCGAUAAGUCGACCGCCUGGGGAGUACGGCCGCAAGGUUAAAACUCAAAUGAAUUGACGGGGGCCCGCACAAGCGGUGGAGCAUGUGGUUUAAUUCGAAGCAACGCGAAGAACCUUACCUGGGCCUUGACAUGUCCGGAAUCUUGCA
This 952-nucleotide ribosomal RNA is filed under the name Pseudomonas sp. RNAcentral's name for it is "bacterial SSU rRNA". It matches the Rfam family "Bacterial small subunit ribosomal RNA", at positions 56 to 1002 of the family's 1533-position model. The record is from RNAcentral. Lineage: Bacteria; Pseudomonadati; Pseudomonadota; Gammaproteobacteria; Pseudomonadales; Pseudomonadaceae.